UCUGGGUUUUGCACCCAGGUUGAGCUCCCCUCCCUCACCCACACGGAGAGUUUACCUUCUGCAGACUCCAGUGGCUCAGAAACCAGGGAUGCAGGGCCAGGAUCGUGGGGUGCCACAGCAGAUGUGGGGAUUUUUCCUUCUUUAUGUUUUUCUGAAGAUGGGAGGCACUGCAGGACAAAGCAUUGAGCAGCCCAGUGAGUUGACAGCUGUGGAAGGAGCCUUCAUGCAGGUGGACUGCACGUAUCGGACAUCUGGGUUCAAUGGACUGUCCUGGUACCAGCAACGUGACAGAGGAGCACCCAUAUUUCUCUCUUACAGUGUUCUGGAUGGUUUGGAGGGGAGAGGUCGCUUUUCUUCAUUCCUUAAUCGCUCUGCUGGGUACAGUUACCUCCUUCUGAAGGAGCUCCAGAUGAAAGACUCUGCCUCCUACCUCUGUGCCGUGAGAGACACGGUGACAAUGAGGCCUCCUCAGCUGCAUCAAAAUUCAAAAUGCAACCACAGCAGUGAGAAGUUUUGUUUCCUGAGUGCAUGCCUGCUGUGAGUUAAGAUUGAGGACUUUGGAAUCAGACUUGAGUGCAAGUAGUUAUUUGAGAAGUAAUCCCAGGAAACACCAGUAGGAAAGUGGAAAAGUGAGCUAGGGAGGGAAGGAAGCAGAUGAAGUGUACAUUUGUUACACUUUACUGGCUUCUUGUGGACAACCAGAAUUUAAUUCUGCCAGAGAACUGUGGAGCCAGUGGAACACAAGCUUAGAAUUAUCCUUCUGAAAGGAUAAGAAAAUUGGAAUACUUAUC
Molecule: non-coding RNA, 791 nt
Organism: Microcebus murinus (gray mouse lemur)
Lineage: Eukaryota; Metazoa; Chordata; Mammalia; Primates; Cheirogaleidae
Source: the annotation of a RefSeq genome assembly